UUUAAGAGCAGUGCUUCGCUCGGUGUUACUCUGAAUCUCACUAGGGCUUCCACCUUGCCCUCUGUUGCAAUAUCCCCGUUUCUUCCGUACCUAAAUGCGCGUUACUCUUGUACCUGCUGCGGCGCCAGGUGUGCAACCAUCACCAACAGCAGUUGCGCCAACAACCGAAUCAGGGGGAGCGAGUGAGGCAGCGCCGACGGCUCCUAGUAAAUCAGGCUCGGCGGUGUUCUCUGUCAAUCGGAUCUCUUGUU
This is a long non-coding RNA of Hibiscus syriacus, 251 nucleotides long. RefSeq lists it as uncharacterized. NCBI's taxonomy places the organism in Eukaryota, Viridiplantae, Streptophyta, Magnoliopsida, Malvales, Malvaceae. The record is from RefSeq and is a predicted model, not a curated record. The transcript has 3 exons.